RNAcentral lists this ribosomal RNA (370 nucleotides) under uncultured bacterium. Its description in RNAcentral is "bacterial SSU rRNA". It matches the Rfam family "Bacterial small subunit ribosomal RNA", at positions 524 to 898 of the family's 1533-position model. The record is from RNAcentral.
UACAGAGAUCUCAACCGUUAUUCGGAAUUACUGGGCUUAAAGGGUGUGUAGGCUGUAUGUAAAGUUGGUUGUGAAAAGCUCUGGCUUACCCAGAGUAGGUCAGCCAAAACUAACGUACUAGAGUAUGGUAGGGGGGAGUGGAACUUCUAGUGGAGCGGUGAAAUGCGUUGAUAUUAGAAGGAACGCCGGAGGCGAAAGCGACUCUCUAGACCAUAACUGACGCUGAGGCACGAAAGCCAGGGGAGCAAACGGGAUUAGAUACCCCGGUAGUCCUGGCCCUAAACGAUGAGUACUAGGUAGGGGGCGUAAGCUCUCUGCUGACGCAAAAGUCUUAAGUACUCCGCCUGGGGAGUAUGGUCGCAAGGCUGAA